GACGAACGCUGGCGGCGUGCUUAACACAUGCAAGUCGAACGGAAAGACCCUGCUUUUGUGGGGUGCUCGAGUGGCGAACGGGUGAGUAACACGUGAGUAACCUGCCCUUGACUUUGGGAUAACUUCAGGAAACUGGGGCUAAUACCGGAUAGGAGCUCCUGCUGCAUGGUGGGGGGUGGAAAGUUUCGGCGGUUGGGGAUGGACUCGCGGCUUAUCCGCUUGUUGGUGGGGUAGUGGCUUACCAAGGCUUUGACGGGUAGCCGGCCUGAGAGGGUGACCGGCCCCAUUGGGACUGAGAUCCGGCCCAGACUCCUACGGGAGGCAGAAGUGGGGAAUAUUGCACAAUGGGCGGAAGCCGGAUGCAGCAACGCCGCGUGCGGGAUGACGGCCUUCGGGUUGUAACCCGCUUUCGCCUGUGACGAAGCGUGAGUGACGGUAAUGGGUAAAGAAGCACCGGCUAACUACGUG
RNAcentral lists this ribosomal RNA (468 nucleotides) under uncultured bacterium. RNAcentral's name for it is "partial 16S ribosomal RNA". It matches the Rfam family "Bacterial small subunit ribosomal RNA", at positions 28 to 507 of the family's 1533-position model. The record is from RNAcentral.